Leptidea sinapis is the source of this 780-nucleotide long non-coding RNA. RefSeq lists it as uncharacterized. NCBI's taxonomy places the organism in Eukaryota, Metazoa, Arthropoda, Insecta, Lepidoptera, Pieridae. The record is from RefSeq and is a predicted model, not a curated record. The transcript is spliced from 17 exons.
ACAGUAAAAGAUUGUGCGACAAAGUGCAAAGGCAAUGACUGUCAUAGCCAAACGAAGCUAUCCCGCUCAAAGUCACGCAUGGCGAGUGUGGGUACCUACUAUUACAUUUGGCUUGGCAAAAUGGCAUCUAUUCCGCAUCGAACUAAAGAAAAAUGUUAUGGCAGUAUGUCAUCAGCAUUGGCCGUUGGUUUUAACGCAACAGCAAAGAGCAAAGGUGACCUUUCAACGGCUACGUGCUUUGGACCUUUCUGCAAAGCAACAUGCGAUGGAGUCAUAAACAUAUGUAUGGCGAAGUGUAUUGGUCGUGCAUGUAUUUCAAAGUGCACUGCUGGUGCAUGUUUGACACUGAGCGAAGGAGUAUCGGUGGAGUCUUGGUGUGACGGCCAUAGAUGUCACGCCAAUUGUACCGGUGAUUUCUGUUUAUCGACUUGCAGUGGAUCUAAUUGUGUUUCUGAGUGUCACUCGAAGAAAUGCAAAUCUCAAUGUUAUGGAAACAAUUGCGAAGCUAUUUGUAGAGGACGUCGCUGUGUGAAGACUCAGUACCAAGGCCAUGAGCCACAAGCUUCGUCACUGCGUCAACAUAAACAACUUAAAUUAUUAAGAAUGAAAAAAUAAGGUGCAACAAAGGAUGGUUAAAUAUAACAAUAUUGUUUAAAUAUCUCCAGCGGACAUCACACAUUUCCCAACUAGCAGAUAGACUUACGUUCUGCUGCAUACGCCUUUAACGAAAUAUUAAAGAGUAUAAUGAUGUGGCUCCAGCCAGAUUACUGUUUCAGUUAU